RNAcentral lists this ribosomal RNA (494 nucleotides) under uncultured bacterium. RNAcentral describes it as "partial 16S ribosomal RNA". It matches the Rfam family "Bacterial small subunit ribosomal RNA", at positions 28 to 507 of the family's 1533-position model. The record is from RNAcentral.
GACGAACGCUGGCGGCGCGCUUAACACAUGCAAGUCGAACGGAAAGGCCUGCUUUCCCUUGUGGAUUGCGGGUACUCGAGUGGCGAACGGGUGAGUAACACGUGAGUGAUCUGCCCCCAACUUGGGUAUAAGCCUGGGAAACUGGGUCUAAUUCCCGAUAGGACUGCAGGGUGGUGCCUGUGGUGGAAAACGAUUUUCUAGUGGUUGGGGAUGAGCUCGCGGCCUAUCAGCUUGUUGGUGGGGUAAUGGCCUACCAAGGCGGCGACGGGUAGCCGGCCUGAGAAGGUGGACGGCCACAUUGGGACUGAGAUACGGCCCAGACUCCUACGGGAGGCAGCAGUGGGGAAUAUUGCACAAUGGGCGGAAGCCUGAUGCAGCGACGCCGCGUGGGGGAUGACGGCCUUCGGGUUGUAAACUCCUUUCGACCGCGAGGAAGCCACCUGGUUGGAAGGGUGGUGACGGUAGUGGUAGAAGAAGCACCGGCUAACUACGUG